CCACUGACGUCCCCUCCCGGAUGCUGUAGCACCGCCCACCCAUCCGGCUGACCGCUGACGUCACCUUCCCGACGCUGUAGCACCGCCUGCCCGCUGACCGCCGACGUCACCUUCCCGGGGCCAGGGUGCCACCCACCGCUGACCAAUGACGUUACCUUCCCGAGGCCCACCCGCUGAUAGCUGAAGUCACCUUCCCGACCCUGUAGCGCUGCCUACCCGCUGACCGCUGAGGUCACCAUCCUGAGGCCACGGCACCACCCACCCGCUGACCGCUGACAUCACCUUCCUGAGGCCACGGCGCCACCCACCCGCUGACCACUGACGUCACCUUCCUGAGGCCACGGCGCCACCCACCCGCUGACCGCUGACGUCAUCUUCCCGACGCUGUAGCACCACCCACCCGGCUGACCACAAGCCUUCUGCCGCCCCCUCACCCCUCGUGCGUGCAGCACGGUUUGGGUAUAUUCACACUCAGGUAUAAAAACAUGAAUCAGCUGGCAACAUAUUUCUCAGGCAAGACUGCAGCCAUUUUAUUAGCAGGUCAUUAACUGGAACUGUGGAGAGAGCUGAGUCAUCACGGACCGUGACAGGAGCCGGAACCUGCAUUCUUGUCACGCAGUGCAGCACGAGGUCCUCGUCAUAUAUGUAGUUACCUACUUGUUCCGCUUUCAUCGAAACAACGACUGAUCACCUGUGGACAUCACUUCCCCUGGUAACUGGUCCCAGGCGCUGGCAGUAGGGACUCCAACCUUUGGACUCAGUGAAGGAGCCUCAGAGAACGAUGUGGUUCUCCUGUGGAUCCUUGGUUCUGGAAAUGAAGUGCCUCAGGACUCAGUUUAUUUGUGGAAUGAAGCAUUCAACUAAAUGAAGGUAAAAAUAGGGAACCCUACAAGCUUUCUGCAUAUAAGAUACAAGAACAGUUUUUUUCAGUGCACCUGUGCCUGGCACAUUUUCCUAGGGACACCCCAGUCCUCCUGUUUGCCUCCAGGGUCGUUGGUCACUCUGUGUGACAUUCAGCUGGUCCCCAGGUAGUUCUCCCAGAUGUUACACAUGCAGCUGGUCUCAAUUCCUGUGCUUCCACGUGACAUUUUCAUAUUAUUUGAAGACUCUUGACUUGGACCGAGUUAGCAUAAACCUCACCAGGUUUACUGUUGUGACACAUGCACUUGUGUGUUGCUGGGCCAUGUGUUUCCCUGUAUAACCUGCCUGGUUUUUCACAGCCAGAGAUGGGUGUAGUUAAAGCGCUCCAAAUCACAGACCUCCAAGAAUUGAUGUACCUUUUUGAUACAUCUCCCUCCUGAUAGGUCUACUUUUUUUCCA
Panthera uncia (snow leopard) is the source of this 1320-nucleotide long non-coding RNA. RefSeq lists it as uncharacterized. The transcript is spliced from 3 exons. Lineage: Eukaryota; Metazoa; Chordata; Mammalia; Carnivora; Felidae. The record is from RefSeq and is a predicted model, not a curated record.